UACGGAGGGGGCUAGCGUUAUUCGGAAUUAUUGGGCGUAAAGCGCGCGCAGGCGGUCCUUUAAGUCUGAUGUGAAAGCCCUCGGCUCAACCGAGGAAGGUCAUUGGAAACUGGAGGACUUGAGUGCAGAAGAGGAAAGUGGAAUUCCAAGUGUAGCGGUGAAAUGCGUAGAGAUUUGGAGGAACACCAGUGGCGAAGGCGACUUUCUGGUCUGUAACUGACGCUGAGGCGCGAAAGCGUGGGGAGCAAACAGG
This 253-nucleotide ribosomal RNA is filed under the name uncultured bacterium. Its description in RNAcentral is "partial 16S ribosomal RNA". It matches the Rfam family "Bacterial small subunit ribosomal RNA", at positions 524 to 776 of the family's 1533-position model. The record is from RNAcentral.